UUGUAUCUGUCCUCUGUGGGGUUGGUUGUGGUCUAGGUAUUAUCAUGUUGUAUCUGUCCUCUGUGGGGUUGGUUGUGGUCUAGGUAUUAUCAUGUUGUAUCUGUCCUCUGUGGGGUUGGCUGUGGUCUAGGUAUUAUCAUGUUGUAUCUGUCCUCUGUGGGGUUGGCUGUGGUCUAGGUAUUAUCAUGUUGUAUCUGUCCUCUGUGGGGUUGGCUGUGGUCUAGGUAUUAUCAUGUUGUAUCUGUCCUCUGUGGGGUUGGCUGUGGUCUAGGUAGUAUCAUGUUGUAUCUGUCCUCUGUGGGGUUGGCU
Oncorhynchus keta (chum salmon) is the source of this 309-nucleotide long non-coding RNA. RefSeq lists it as uncharacterized. The transcript is spliced from 3 exons. NCBI's taxonomy places the organism in Eukaryota, Metazoa, Chordata, Actinopteri, Salmoniformes, Salmonidae. The record is from RefSeq and is a predicted model, not a curated record.